CCUUUGGACCUGUGGGUGCUGCUGGUUGAGGUGAUGAUACUUGGGGGUGCUGCAGCCACCUUGCCACGUUGAGUAGACAAAGCUGAGGUCAAGGCCAACCUGCCAAGGAUGCCAAGAGAUGAUGGGAAGAACCAGUUCCCAAGUGGUCACUGACCCACUGAGGUUAUCAACCUGGGUUUGUCUAUUUCUGGACUUUUGGUAAUAUGAGCUAAUAAAUAUCCAAGUGGGUAAGCCUUUUUGAGCUGGGCGUUUUUUCUCAUGGAGGCAGCUUCCUGUUAUAGGGGGCAGUGAAGAAGUCAGAGUUCAUGGCUGAAAGCACAGGAUGCAGACUUAGACAGACCUGAGUUCAGGUCCUUGCUCUGCCACCUACUUGCUGUGUGACCUUGGGCUUAGCUUCUCUGACCUUGAGUUUCUUCAUCUGCCUCCAAAUAAGGGAGAGCCCUGGCAGAAUCAUGGGAGGAACAGCGUGUGGAGCCCUCAGCACAGAGCCCAGCCCAGUGAGCAGUCAAUAAAUGUUAGCUCUCCCAAAGUUGGCAACCAGUCUGAAAGACUUCAUGCCCAGUCUCACAGCAGAGCUCCGUAGCCCAGGAUCUUCCAAGCACACGUUGCUCGUAGCCAUGAAGAAAUAAAAACAACCCAUGUUUGGCCCAAUCUUCUACACAUUAGGGCUUUUGAGCCUUUCCUAGGGAUACCAAUUAUGCAGCAUUUUGUGCUAGGUGGAUCUGGGAUUGUUUUAAGCUCUCUUUCAAAUGAAAGCAACAGUCUUUUUUAAAAAGUAAAAAUAAAAUGGACUCAUCACCCAACAGUAAUGCACAUGUAUGUUCAUCAAAGAAAAUAUAGAGGGAUCCACCGCUGUAUGAUUGGUACCAGCCUGUUAUGGGGUUGAAUUUUGUCCCCCACCCAAAAAGCUGCGGUAAGUCCUGACCCCAGGACCUUGGAAUUGGCCUUAUUUGGAUGGAGGGUCUUUCCAGAAGUAACAAAGCUGAAGUGAGGUCAGUAGGGUAGACCCUAGUCCUCAUCAGAAGGGAGAACUUGGACACAAAGAAACCCACAAAGGGAAGGCGAUGUGAAGACACAGAAAGAAACGCCCACCUACAAGCCACAGAGUGAGGCCUGGAACACGUCCUCCCUCCCCACACAGCCUCAGAGGGAACCAGCCCUGCUGUUGCUAUGAUCUCAGAUUUGCAGCCUCCAGAGCCAUGAGAUAAUACGUGUCCGUGCUUUAAGCCGCCCAGUCUGUGGCACUUUGUUAUGGUAGCCUGAGCAGACUAACACAGGCCCCAGGCUGGACACAACACAAAUGCCCGUCAGGAGGUGCGCAGAUAUUCUUAAGAGGCAGCAGAUACCCACUGGAAUCCCUCGAAGCCUGGCAGCCCCCCACGGAGCAGAGGGGGCCCUGUGCAUGAGGCCUCAAAAUCACCAACUUCUCAUCAUUAAAACUGAGAGAGAGAGAGAGAGAGAGAGAACACCAAAGCCUCACCGUGGAAACACAUGAACACGAAUGAGCAGGCUGUAGCGGAAGCAUGCCAUCUACUGCCAUCUGCUUCUGGUGAGGCCUCAGGGAGCUGCCAAUCAUGGCGGAAGGUGAAGGGGAGCCAGUGCAUCACACGGCAA
RNAcentral lists this long non-coding RNA (1614 nucleotides) under Homo sapiens (human). RNAcentral's name for it is "HSALNT0371721". Lineage: Eukaryota; Metazoa; Chordata; Mammalia; Primates; Hominidae. The record is from RNAcentral.